Molecule: long non-coding RNA, 706 nt
Organism: Peromyscus eremicus (cactus mouse)
Lineage: Eukaryota; Metazoa; Chordata; Mammalia; Rodentia; Cricetidae
Exons: 3
Source: RefSeq, a predicted model, not a curated record
UGUGUUCUUGUCUUCACCUCAGGGACCUGGACGCCCUGCCUUUUGAGGCAAGGUUGUGGAUGUCCCGGGCCUUAUGGUCCCUGGUUCGCAUGAUGUGGGGCAGCAUCCAUCUGAACGCUCAUCACUACCAAGGCCAAGGUUUUGGAAGGAAGUCCUUCUUCUCUCAUCUUAGUAUUAGACCAUCGGAUUUGGGACACGGGACUAUGGCCGCUGACUCUGCAUCCCUCACAAGCAUACACAGCUGCCUGCCCUUUUGCCUUGUGUCCAUCCUGGAGCAGCCUUCUGCAAGAUUCUAUGUUACCUGUCCUCGGUCCACUUGGAAUCUCUUGAGAGAGCCGAGUCCUGUGUGUUCCUAGGCCCUGCCACAGGGACCUGGACGCCCUGCCUGUUGAGGCAAGGUUGUGGAUGUCCCAGGCCUUAUGGUCCCUGCUUCGCAUGAGGUGGGGCAGCAUCCAUCUGAACGCUCAUCACUACCAAGGCCAAGGUUUUGGAAGGAAGUCCUUCUUCUCCCAUCUUAGUAUUAGACCAUUGGAUUCGGGACACAGGACUAAGGCCGCUGACUCUGCAUCCCUCACAAGCAUACACAGCUGCCUGCCCUUUUGCCUUGUGUCCAUCCUGGAGUGGCCUUCUGCAAGGUGGGAAGCCCGAGCUGGGUCUAGGGACCCAUUGAGUUGGGUGGUCGUCUCCCUUGGUGUAACACCUUCCA